UUAUUUUGAUUCUAUUGAUUGCCACAAUCAGUUGAUAUUUAUUGUAAUACCUUAAUUGAACCAUCAUGAACAAAUUAUCAUGCUUACAGAUGCUAUGCUUAUGGAAUGUGUCACAAAUCACACUAUCUGGGAAAAUAUGGGUGCCCUGUUUGCGAGUCCCAAACUAAACCCAAUACCAUCAGCCAAUGCUAUCAACAAGUACGGCAUCAGAGUUUGGACACAAAUUUUGCCUCAAUCCCAUGCAACCCUACACCCACUGUUGUCAGGAGUCAGGACACAACUUCUGUCAUCCCCCUUUGUAAAAAUGAAAUGUGGUGCCAUUGGAGCGGGUCCUCAAGGCUUCCAUCCUAACUGCACCAAAGAUCAAGAUAGUGAAUCAAUGUGGGCAAGGGCAAUCAAUAAAUGAAUGUAAGGAGCAGUACAAGCAACCUUUAAUCACACAACUUGUAAUUUGUGGAAUUCCUAUAUCAGACCAUCUAGUACCACCUUCCACAAAAACAUACAAGAUAUUGUCAUCAUAUACUCUGUGAAACUUCAAACCAAAAACUUCAAAAAUAAACAAGUGACCUAACAAUGGCGAAAUACUUCUCUUAUCUCCUAUAUGUAACAAUGCCUAACAACCAAGGGAUGAGCUGGGUAUCAUGUUUUUUAGUCCUCAUCCACGAACUCCAAACAUUCAUGUGAUUCACCUGUUGACCAACUCUGGUUUUCUUACUGUAAUUAUGUUUGAGUAGAGUUAUCUUACACUAAAUUGUCAAUCAAAGACACAGGCAGAGGGAAUUACGCCAACUUCAUGUCCAAAGUAAAGAUUCUCAGCUGAAACCAAUCUAUUGGAAUAAAACAGUCUCUGUGACAGUACUGUGCAAGCGCACUACUGUCACAGAGAACAUGGAAAGAUAUAAUCUUAUGCUAUGGGCAAUAAUCCAAAAGCAUGAAAGCAUGGUCAUGACAUCAAGCUUCCCAUGUCACUUCUCCACAAAAUCUUGCAAAACAGGAUAGAAGUUCACCCUACGCAAGAAAGUCAAUCGUUGAUCUGAAAAGUAACAAACUCAAACCUGCCAAUAAACAGAUUUAAGAUGGUUGGCAGGAAUUAAGCUUAGUCACAUAUUAAACCUGUGCAUGAAAGUGUCAAAAGCCCCAAACAUGCAGGGAGAAUGACCCUAGUUGUUGCAGAAGAAGGGAUGCAUGCCCAAACUAACCUACAAAUGAUCCAGACUCAACGUAUUAGAGGCUACUGAUAAGAACUUAAGAAGCAUGAACUGAACCAAGCAUAACAGCACAAAAUAAGAGAUGGCGACUUACUUGGCUCUGCUGAUCCUGGUAACGACUUUCCUUGCAUCAGCCAAUGCUGCAAAUGAGAAUUCAAGAAAUAAGGACUUCCUUAUCGCAAUAAGAGAGAUGCAAACUGCCACCUACUUCAGCUUUGUGAUGCUGAUGAACAUGUACCCACCUGAGAGAAUACCAGGAAACGUCACCUUUCUGAUGCCCAAUGACCGAAUG
RNAcentral lists this long non-coding RNA (1500 nucleotides) under Aquilegia coerulea. RNAcentral's name for it is "long non-coding RNA (ACOE_LNC000459)". The record is from RNAcentral. Lineage: Eukaryota; Viridiplantae; Streptophyta; Magnoliopsida; Ranunculales; Ranunculaceae.